This 1557-nucleotide long non-coding RNA is filed under the name Vigna radiata. Its description in RNAcentral is "long non-coding RNA (VRAD_LNC009076)". The record is from RNAcentral. Lineage: Eukaryota; Viridiplantae; Streptophyta; Magnoliopsida; Fabales; Fabaceae.
UGCUAAUCCUAUUAAACAUUAUUAUUAAAGUGACAAUUUGCUCCUCUAAUAAAUACUAAUUUGAUUCUGAUGUUAAUAACUUUAACUACUUUAUAAAUUUUUGCUAUUUUUNUUAUUAUAUCACGCAUUACUAUAUUAUAAAAUUGUGACUUAUAAAUACUUAAUUUGAAAAUUUAUUUUCUCUUAUGGUGUGACAGGAUAUAAUUCAUCACUACAAAAAAAUAAAUAAUAAUUUAUACUAAUAGUCAUUCAAGACAUGAAUUACAUACUAGAUAGUAAUUGCUAGUUUCUAAACCAUUUUCAUUGUUUGUUUUAAAGUAUAACCUUUUUCUAUUUCUAAAAAAACAUUAUAUAUACCAGAUAAUUAUAUAUGUGUUUUUCUUAUACAUAUGUUUCAGAAUUUAUUUCUUUGAAAUGACAUGCUUAGAAAAUAAUUAACAAAGAUAAUAACAACUUUGGCUUGAAUUUAUUUCUUUGAAAUGACAUGCUUAGAAAAUAAUUAACAAAGAUAAUAACAACUUUGGCUNUAAUUAACAAAGAUAAUAACAACUUUGGCUUGAAUUUAUUUCUUUGAAAUGACAUGCUUAGAAAAUAAUUAACAAAGAUAAUAACAACUUUGGCUACUUACAUCAUUCUUUUAGUUCAGGGACUGUUUAGGAUGUGACAAUUCUGUUAUUAAUGAAUGACGAAAAAACCUUAUAUUUUACUGCAUUAUUAAGGUCCAAUAGAACAUAUAAAGAUAGNAAAACAAAAAAACAAAAAUAAAAAAGAGGUUAGACAAGAGAUGAGGAACAUGGAAAGAUCGUUAUAGGGUAUAAUUGGGCAUGAUCUUCAUGUGAUAUUGAUAUUUGNAGCAAGAACUAUUUCUUAUUUCUUUCCUUCAUCUAAUCUAUAAAUUAUAUUAUUGGUAUCACCGCAAGAAUUUUUUUUAUAUUUUGUAGUGCUUCCCUAGCUUGCAUUGUGUUCAAUAUUGAUUAAAUUGACCCUUGAAGUUGGCCUUGUGUUGCUGUUACAAUAACCCUGAACCUNUUGAGCAUAAUUAGAAGUAUUGGAUGUUGUCAUGUGGGUAUAUAUGAGGGGUUAGUUUGCUUAUGUUUGUGUUAUUUUUCUUCANUAUUUGAAUGUGAAUAGGAAUUUAUGUUUUAUAUUGUGGGUUGGUUGUCGUGGUUGACAAUUAAAUGUGAAGUAGGUGGUAUUUUGGUAUGAAUAUCUUAGUUGUAAUUAAAUUGAUACUGUUUUAUGAUCUCUUAUCAUUGUGCUAACACAGGGAAGAGAAAAUAGCAAAGAAAANGAGUUUUCAUGAGAGUUUUAGUGUGCAUCCGAGAGGCUGACAAUGCAAGGCAAAUGUGAGGCUUAAAGAAACAAGGAAGGGAUUAGGAAACUUAAGAGAAUCAUAGAACUUUGGCACUUUGUAUAAAUAUAUAUUACAUUUUUAACUAUACACUUUUAUUAUGUUAGUUAUUUGAAGUCAUUUUUGUAUAUAUAUAGAUUGUGUAUUUAUUAUUGUUGUUUUAAUAAAAACUCAUAGAUAUUUGGUACUAUUUUUUUGCAAUUUCA